UUUUUUUUAAUGUUACAUAUUCAAAAAAUUCAGUUAUGUCAACAAUCACUAGUUGUGCACAUUUGCCAUUCUUUUGUGGAUUUUCAAGUUCUUUUUGGCCGUGCUAUUUAUCACUAAGUAGGAAUGCUAUAAACAUAAAUUUCCAUGGAGCAAAGCCAAAGAAGUCCUCUCCAAAGUAAUGAUGUCAGCAGCUACGUGGGGCAGCCUAAGUCAGAUCCUGAUUCCUGACCUGGUAGCUCUGGAAGCCUGGUUUACUGAUAAAGCCUCCACUGUCAGACUCUCCAGUCCACAUUAUUAACCCUUUCUUCUCCCUCCCACCUUCAACAGCCGACUUUCCUUAGUGGGGAAAGAAGAAUCCAUAUCAGGAAAAGGUCAGAGCUCCUGACCUACCUCCCAGCAUUUUGGGCUUUUGGAAGAGAAUAAAUAAAAUAAUAUUUUGAAAGUAUGCCAGACUCCUGCGUGGUUGCAUCUCCAAGUACCUCCUUGAGGUCUGUCCACUGGAUGUCACACAGAUCUCAGUGGAACUCCAGACCUGCUCCUGCGCAGUCUCUCUUCCCCCAUUGUCCUCCAUAUCAGCUGAUGAUACACCAUCCUCUAAGAAAUGGAAACAAGAAACUCAACAUUCUUAUCCUACCCCCAGGCAUCGAGUCAUUGCCCAGUCAUAUUUAUUCCUCCUCCAAAAUAAAACUUCACUCCAAUCUGUUUUUAAAGACUUGA
Myotis brandtii (Brandt's bat) is the source of this 717-nucleotide long non-coding RNA. RefSeq lists it as uncharacterized. The record is from RefSeq and is a predicted model, not a curated record. The transcript has 2 exons. Lineage: Eukaryota; Metazoa; Chordata; Mammalia; Chiroptera; Vespertilionidae.